AUGAAUGAAAUUGCGGAGGAAGAUUGUUGUUCUUGCAACUUAAAUCAAUGGAUUCAACCUGAGUUGAAAGUCACUGCUACUGUGGAGCAAUGAUGUGAAUGUGGGAGGAAAGGAAAGAUGGUACAAAACAUCCAGGGAGGCGAUUCCUUGGAUGUAUCAAUUAUCAGGUAUGAAUGUAAUAUAUUUUUUCCAUAUUAUUACUUAUGUUAUGGUUGAUGUGUAAUAGGACAAGAAAGCUUACUAUUAUUUCUUUAAAUGGUGUAAUCCAUCAUUUUCUGACAGAGCUAGAGAUGUUAUUGGAGUUUUGACAUUAAAAUUGAAGGUUUGCAAAGAGAUUGUAGAUAAAACGAAGAAGGAAAAAAGUGAGACGGCUAAAAAUUGGUUAGCAACUGAGAUGGCCGAAAGUUCAGUGAAGACCUUGGAGAAUGAGAUUAAAAAGUUGAAGAAGAUGAAUGCCAAACUUGUAGGAAGGGAAAAUUUUUAUUUGUUUCUUUUAAUUUGCUCAUGGAUGUGUGUUUUAGUGUUUGUUGUUUUAUAAAUGUAAAUGUAAGUUUAGAUGCAAUUAGGAUUCCAAGCUUGUAUACAGUUGAGAUUUCAAGAUUCUAUUUUGGUUAUGGAUAUAAAUUGUAAGUUUAGAUGUAACUAGGAUUUCAAGCUUGUAUUUUGGUUAUGAGUAUGAAUGAAUGAAAGG
This 691-nucleotide long non-coding RNA is filed under the name Panax ginseng (ginseng). Its description in RNAcentral is "long non-coding RNA (PGIN_LNC007961)". Lineage: Eukaryota; Viridiplantae; Streptophyta; Magnoliopsida; Apiales; Araliaceae. The record is from RNAcentral.